Molecule: ribosomal RNA, 140 nt
Filed under: uncultured eukaryote
Lineage: Eukaryota
Description: partial 18S ribosomal RNA
Rfam family: Eukaryotic small subunit ribosomal RNA
Source: RNAcentral
UGGUGGAGUGAUUUGUCUGGUUAAUUCCGUUAACGAACGAGACCUCCGCGUGCUAAAUAGUUCUGCUUACCAAUUUGGUAGGUAAGGACUUCUUAGAGGGACUUUCAGUGACUAACUGAAGGAAGUUGGAGGCAAUAACA